This 214-nucleotide ribosomal RNA is filed under the name Lachancea thermotolerans. RNAcentral describes it as "partial large subunit ribosomal RNA". The record is from RNAcentral. Lineage: Eukaryota; Fungi; Ascomycota; Saccharomycetes; Saccharomycetales; Saccharomycetaceae.
AAGGGCAUUUGAUCAGACAUGGUGUUUUGCGACCCUCGCUCCUUGUGGGUGGGGUCAUCGCAGUUCACUGGGCCAACAUCAGUUUUGGCGGCAGGAUAAAUCUCUGGGAAUGUAGCUACUCUUCGGAUUAGCAUUAUAGCCCAGGGGAAUACUGCCAGCCGGGACUGAGGACUGCGACUUUUGUCAAGGAUGUUGGCAUAAUGGUUAUAUGCCG